UACGUAGGUGGCGAACGUUGUUCGGAAUCAUUGGGCGUAAAGGGCGCGUAGGCGGUCCUGUUAGUCGGAUGUGAAAGCCCCGGGCUCAACCCGGGAAGUGCAUCCGAAACUGCAGGACUUGAGUACGGGAGAGGGAAGUGGAAUUCCUGGUGUAGGGGUGAAAUCCGUAGAUAUCAGGAGGAACACCGGUGGCGAAGGCGACUUCCUGGACCGAUACUGACGCUGAGGCGCGAAAGCGUGGGGAGCAAACAGG
Molecule: ribosomal RNA, 253 nt
Filed under: uncultured bacterium
Lineage: Bacteria
Description: partial 16S ribosomal RNA
Rfam family: Bacterial small subunit ribosomal RNA
Source: RNAcentral